UGCAAAGUUGUCUGCCAGCAUUAUUGCCAU
This 30-nucleotide non-coding RNA is filed under the name Homo sapiens (human). Lineage: Eukaryota; Metazoa; Chordata; Mammalia; Primates; Hominidae. The record is from RNAcentral.